CGGGACGGGUGAGUAAUGUCUGGGAAACUGCCUGAUGGAGGGGGAUAACUACUGGAAACGGUAGCUAAUACCGCAUAACGUCGCAAGACCAAAGAGGGGGACCUUAGGGCCUCUUGCCAUCGGAUGUGCCCAGAUGGGAUUAGCUAGUAGGUGGGGUAACGGCUCACCUAGGCGACGAUCCCUAGCUGGUCUGAGAGGAUGACCAGCCACACUGGAACUGAGUCACGGUCCAG
RNAcentral lists this ribosomal RNA (233 nucleotides) under uncultured bacterium. Its description in RNAcentral is "partial 16S ribosomal RNA". It matches the Rfam family "Bacterial small subunit ribosomal RNA", at positions 100 to 334 of the family's 1533-position model. The record is from RNAcentral.